UUUUCAAGUGUUCAAUUACAACGAUUUUCAAUUUUCAAGAAGUUGUUCGUCAAUCCGGUAAACUCGUUUCAACUCUUACGUGCUAAGAAUAUUUGUUAUGUGUUGUUAUUUUGCUUAAUUAUAAUUAUUAUGGCAUUUUCAUUGAAAAACAUGUUCGGAAAAGGUAAAUCUAAAUCCGGUGAAAGUAGACGCCAAAAUCCUACCCCUCCCCCGGCUCCCCGACCUAGAAAAGAAUAUUUGUUGUGUGUUGUUAUUUUGCUUAAUUAUAAUUAUUAUGGCAUUUUCAUUG
This 289-nucleotide long non-coding RNA is filed under the name Nicotiana benthamiana. RNAcentral's name for it is "long non-coding RNA (NBEN_LNC025415)". The record is from RNAcentral. Lineage: Eukaryota; Viridiplantae; Streptophyta; Magnoliopsida; Solanales; Solanaceae.